CGACGUAAAGAACUUGCCUCACAGCUAGGGACAACAUUUAGAAAUGAAUGCUAAUACCUGAUAUUAUGAUUUUAAGGCAUCUUAGAAUUAUGAAAGCUAUAAGCACUGUGAGAGAGCUUUGCGUCCCAUUAGCUCGUUGGAGAGGUAACAGCUCACCAAGGCGAUGAUGGGUAGCCGGCCUGAGAGGGUGAACGGCCACAAGGGAACUGAGACACGGCCCUU
RNAcentral lists this ribosomal RNA (222 nucleotides) under uncultured bacterium. Its description in RNAcentral is "partial 16S ribosomal RNA". It matches the Rfam family "Bacterial small subunit ribosomal RNA", at positions 113 to 334 of the family's 1533-position model. The record is from RNAcentral.